UUCUUAUCAAGAGAAGCCGAGGGAAUGGCCCGAUGAAGCUUCAGCAACCUCUACGAUUAGUAGAAAGGUGCUAAUUCCUGCAAGCACAUGCUUGUCAGAUAAGGG
Molecule: non-coding RNA, 105 nt
Filed under: Bacillus sp. (in: firmicutes)
Lineage: Bacteria; Bacillati; Bacillota; Bacilli; Caryophanales; Bacillaceae
Also listed under: 1 other name
Description: Bacillus sp. SAM-I sequence
Rfam family: SAM riboswitch aptamer (S box leader)
About the family: The SAM riboswitch is found upstream of a number of genes which code for proteins involved in methionine or cysteine biosynthesis in Gram-positive bacteria. The SAM riboswitch acts at the level of transcription termination control. The predicted structure consists of a complex stem-loop region followed by a single stem loop terminator region.
Source: RNAcentral